GUAACUCUAAAUGGAUCAUGCACGCAGACUUUGGAACAAUAACUCAUCAAUUCACGACGGGACGUCGUUUAAGCGCGAGCUGCUUGAGUUUCUGCACACGUCCACGCGCGGGGACCAGCGACAGACUCGAUCAUAGCAGUCCUCGGAUAGUAGCACAAGAUACUUGCUAAGAAUUUGGAUAACAGGCUGUAUGUGCACUUGAGAGUCAGAUCACUCAAGCCAAAGUCAAUGGCUGUUUGUCACUAACUGACAUCAGUACCUUUCGCGUUGCUCUUUAUAGUGACGUAGUAGCGAGUUAACGCGAUUCUCGGGCAUAGUUCGUGGUUUUUAACAAAUGCACUGCUGCAAAGACCUCUGCCUUUACGAGUUUUUUGAUAUCUGCUUGUGGAUUAGAUUUGAUUAUGCUGUUAUGGAUCACCUCAGGUUUGGCACUCAAAGAUGACCGGUCAUCAUUGUCCACUAAAAGGAAAAGGAGAUUUUGUAAAUCAGUGAGAAAACACGUAAAUCAACGGCCCUCAGAUCAGGAGACGGAAGACGAGCGGAGAGUGGGAGUAGCGAUAGUGGUGGAGGAGUGAACCCGGAGCAGGUGAACACAGCUGCGGACCGCCAUGGGCUCUCUUCUAUUGGUCCCGACUCUUCAUCUUCGGGUCUCUGAGAGACGGCAGGGGCCAGCCAGGGAGCGCCGGAGUGGGCAGGCCAGGCAGCUCGCUUUCCCCGCCGGCUACCGGCUCCUCGGCAGUGAGGAGGGAGAGAAAUCAAUACUGAGGAGAGAUGCUGCCAGGGGUCGCUCAACGCUACCUCCAGCCAUAGAGCCACGGGAGCCCAAGUGUUCAGCUUUCUCUCUCACAGCCCGAUCUCAGUCAACUUGCAUCAGCUAAAGAGAGGGCCAACAGCCUUGACGUUCUUCAUGCUACACCGAGUGUGUGUGGUUCUGCCAGAGGGUCUUUUCAGGCUCGGCAUCACUUGAUAAAACUGUGCCUGCUGGAGAACGAGUAGAAAAAGAAUGUCAAAGGUCUUUCUUUCACCCAUCUUUGAUUCCUUUUUCGCCAUGAGUGCACAUUCCCCCUGACUGUUGUAAUGAGUGCUUGACGGAGAUCUCUUUUACGCUAAACCAAGAGGCCUUCUUUUUUUAGUGGUACUCCUCCUAAGCAUGCACAAAGUGCUCUACAUUUGAUGGGCUUGGAUGAGAGAGCAGUUUGAAUCCUUUUUCCACCUUUUCCAUGAUGGUUUUCCAUGAUUUGUUUAAGGACGCCACUAUUGGAGAGGCUCGGAACAGGACAUGGCCUUGAUUUGUAGGUGAAGGUUUUGGCACUUAACCUUCCAGGGAACUUUACAACGGCUUUCAGCUCUGACAAUGGCACUUGAUUGGUAUUAAUAACAUUGCAGACAAAUCGAGGACAGUGUGAGAUGGAGAUGUUCCAAAAAGUUGCUCCCACAAGGCUGCAGAUCCAUUGGGACGUGGACAACUAAAACGUGGCCUGAACUAGAUGUUAACCCUUCAAAAAGUGGAGUGCUGGUGGCAGUGGAUAGUUCCUGUAUCCUUGGAAGCUCAACAGGAAGUUGUAUUUGGUUUUUUACUAAAUCUUGAUGCCAGGAUCAGCACAGACCAUCACUGGAGAUAGUUUUCCCUUUCUUCUUUAUUUAAUUACUGAAUGUAACUGUUUUUAAGAAGACUGUUUGUGUUGUUUGUAUCGGAUCUCUCUUUUUUUCAACGUAUUUCUGGACAAUACAGGUAAGUUCGUUGUUUGAAAAAAGAACUAUUUCUUAAAUGUACAGUACAAAGGACAAUUAAUAAUAAUGAGACUUACUGCCAACUUAAAAAUUGAUUAAACUUUAUCAUAGAUAGAUAUAGAUGGAUAGAUAGAUAGAUAGAUAGAUAGAUAUGUAUUCAGAAAUAUAUUUAUAUAGAUUGUUACAUAUUUAUAUAGAUAUUCAUAUAAAUGAAUAUUCAAAUACAUAUUCAGAUAUUCAUAUAGAUUGAUCAGAUAGAUACUCAGAUAGAAAUUCAAACAUAUAUAUAUAUAUAUAUAUAUAUAUAGAGAGAGAGAGAGAGAGAGAGAGAGAGAGAGAGAGAGAGAGAGAGAGACUUUUUAUUGAUUUGCUAUUGCUUUAAUCUAUUCCAUUAAAGUGAUUCCUGCCUAACUGCCUUGUAUUAAAGAUAAAAAGUGCUUAAUUAAAUUCUGAAAAAGAAAUGAUCA
Long non-coding RNA from Carassius gibelio (silver crucian carp), 2198 nucleotides. RefSeq lists it as uncharacterized. Lineage: Eukaryota; Metazoa; Chordata; Actinopteri; Cypriniformes; Cyprinidae. The record is from RefSeq and is a predicted model, not a curated record. The transcript has 5 exons.